AGUGAACGCUGGCGGUAGGCCUAACACAUGCAAGUCGAACGGCAGCACAGUAAGAGCUUGCUCUUACGGGUGGCGAGUGGCGGACGGGUGGGGAAUACAUCGGAAUCUACUUUUUCGUGGGGGAUAACGUAGGGAAACUUACGCUAAUACCGCAUACGACCUACGGGUGAAAGCAGGGGAUCUUCGGACCUUGCGCGAUUGAAUGAGCCGAUGUCGGAUUAGCUAGUUGGCGGGGUAAAGGCCCACCAAGGCGACGAUCCGUAGCUGGUCUGAGAGGAUGAUCAGCCACACUGGAACUGAGACACGGUCCAGACUCCUACGGGAGGCAGCAGUGGGGAAUAUUGGACAAUGGGCGCAAGCCUGAUCCAGCCAUAUCGCGUGGGUGAAGAAGGCCUUCGGGUUGUAAAGCCCUUUUGUUGGGAAAGAAAAGCAGCAGGUUAAUACCCCGCUGUUCUGACGGUACCCAAAGAAUAAGCACCGGCUAACUUCGUG
This 492-nucleotide ribosomal RNA is filed under the name uncultured bacterium. RNAcentral's name for it is "partial 16S ribosomal RNA". It matches the Rfam family "Bacterial small subunit ribosomal RNA", at positions 29 to 507 of the family's 1533-position model. The record is from RNAcentral.